Camarhynchus parvulus is the source of this 1200-nucleotide long non-coding RNA. The record is from Ensembl. Lineage: Eukaryota; Metazoa; Chordata; Aves; Passeriformes; Thraupidae.
AUGGGCUGGACAAAUGGGAUGGGGCCAAAAAUGGGAUGGGCCCAAAAAUGGGAUGGGCCGGAAUAUGGGACAGGCUGGACAAUGGGACAGGCUGGACAAUGGGACAGGCUGGACAAUGGGAUGGACAGACAGCGGGACAGGCCGGAGAACGGGACAGGCUGGACAGUGGGGUGGACAGACAGCGGGACAGGCCAGACAAUGGGACCAGCCAGACAAUGGGAUGGGCUGGAGAAUGGGAUGGACAGACAGCAGGACAGGCCGGACAAUGGGAUGGGCCCAAAAAUGGGAUGGGCCAGACAAUGGGACUGGCCGGACAAUGGGACUGGCUGGACAGCAGGACGGACGGACAGUGGGACAGACAGACAGUGGGAUGGGCCAGAGAAUGGGACAAGCUGGACAAUGGGACAGGCCAGACAGUGGGACAGAUGGACAGCGGGACAGACGGACAGUGGGACAGGCUGGACAACGGAUGGGCCAGACAACGGGAUGGGCUGGACAGCAGGAUGGACAGACAGCGGGAUGGACAGACAACGGGAUGGGCUGGACAGCGGGACGGACGCUCCCCGGGAAGGGGAUCGGGAUUCUCCGCAAUGCCGGCCGCUCCUGGCCCUGCUGGAACGGGGGCGCGCCCUCGUGGGUUGUGCCUGUAAAGUUGUGGGGUUGGCACCAAACGUUUUGGGGUCCUGGUGUUGUCACCAGAAUUUGUGGAGUCCCGACAUUGUCACCAAAAGUUUUGGAGUCUUGAGGUUGUCCCCAAAAGAAGUCCCAGUGUUGUCCCCAAAAGUUUUGGGGUCCUGGUGUUGUCCCCAAAAGAGGUCCCAAUGUUGUCCUCAAAUUGUCCCCAAAAUUUUUGGGGUCCCAGCAUUGUCCCCAAAAGUUUUGGGGUCCUGGCAUUGUCACCAAAGGUUUUGGGGUCCUGAGGUUGUCCCCAUAAGUUUUGGGGUCCUGGUGUUGUUCCCAAAAGAGCUCCCAGUGUUGUCCCAAAUAGUUUUGGGGUCCUGGCGUUGUCCCCAGGGUGUCCCCAAAGAUGGAGGGGACAAACAAGGGACACAGAGCCCCCUGGGACUGUCCCCCCCCAGCUGGCACCAGGAUGAGCCAGGAUUUGGGAUUUCAGGAUUUGGGAUUUUGGGAUUCCGGGACCAUUCCUGGCCGAUGGAAUCCUCGCUCCGCCAUAUAAACUCAUUAAUUAACGCCAAUUAA